AUGCACGCUGGCGGCGUGCCUAAUACAUGCAAGUCGAGCGAACGGACGAGAAGCUUGCUUCUCUGAUGUUAGCGGCGGACGGGUGAGUAACCCGUGGAUAACCUACCUAUAAGACUGGGAUAACUUCGGGAAACCGGAGCUAAUACCGGAUAAUAUUUUGAACCGCAUGGUUCAAAAGUGAAAGACGGUCUUGCUGUCACUUAUAGAUGGAUCCGCGCUGCAUUAGCUAGUUGGUAAGGUAACGGCUUACCAAGGCAACGAUGCAUAGCCGACCUGAGAGGGUGAUCGGCCACACUGGAACUGAGACACGGUCCAGACUCCUACGGGAGGCAGCAGUAGGGAAUCUUCCGCAAUGGGCGAAAGCCUGACGGAGCAACGCCGCGUGAGUGAUGAAGGUCUUCGGAUCGUAAAACUCUGUUAUUAGGGAAGAACAUAUGUGUAAGUAACUGUGCACAUCUUGACGGUACCUAAUCAGAAAGCCACGGCUAACUACGUG
Molecule: ribosomal RNA, 496 nt
Filed under: uncultured bacterium
Lineage: Bacteria
Description: partial 16S ribosomal RNA
Rfam family: Bacterial small subunit ribosomal RNA
Source: RNAcentral